RNAcentral lists this ribosomal RNA (406 nucleotides) under uncultured bacterium. RNAcentral describes it as "partial 16S ribosomal RNA". It matches the Rfam family "Bacterial small subunit ribosomal RNA", at positions 30 to 526 of the family's 1533-position model. The record is from RNAcentral.
AUUGAACGCUGGCGGCAGGCUUAACACAUGCAAGUCGAGCGAGCGGCGGACGUGUGAGUAAUGUCUGGGAAACUGCCUGAUGGCGGGGGAUAACUACUGGAAACGGUAGCUAAUACCACAUACCAUCAGAUGUGCCCAGAUGGGAUUCGCUAGUAGGUGGGGUAAUGGCUCACCUAGGCGACGAUCCCUAGCUGGUCUGAGAGGAUGACCAGUCACACUGGAACUGAGAAACGGUCCAGAAUCCUACGGGAGGCAGAAGUGGGGAAUAUUGCACAAUGGGCGCAAGCCUGAUGCAGCCAUGCCGCGUGUGUGAAGAAGGCCUUAGGGUUGUAAAGCACUUUCAGCGGGGAGGCGUUACUCGCAGAAGAAGCACCGGAUAACUCCGUGCCAGCAGCCGCGGUAAUUC